AGCUCGUCGGGGUCCACACCCCGGGUGACCAGGAGGUAGUCGCGGAUGCAGAAGGCAUGACGGCCCUC
This 68-nucleotide small RNA is filed under the name Nocardioides sp. Root614. Its description in RNAcentral is "ASdes TB sRNA". It matches the Rfam family "ASdes TB sRNA". Lineage: Bacteria; Bacillati; Actinomycetota; Actinomycetes; Propionibacteriales; Nocardioidaceae. The record is from Rfam by way of RNAcentral.